Molecule: ribosomal RNA, 443 nt
Filed under: uncultured bacterium
Lineage: Bacteria
Description: partial 16S ribosomal RNA
Rfam family: Bacterial small subunit ribosomal RNA
Source: RNAcentral
CCUACGGGAGGCUGCAGUCGGGAAUAUUGAGCAAUGGAGGCAACUCUGACCCAGCAACGCCGCGUGAAUGAUGAAGGUCUUCGGAUUGUAAAGUUCUUUUAUAAGGGAAGAAGAAAGUGACGGUACCUUAGGAAUAAGCCUCGGCUAACCACGUGCCAGCCGCCGCGGUAAUACGUAGGAGGCAAGCGUUAUCCGGAAUGACUGGGUGUAAAGGGUGCGUAGGUGGUUUGACAAGUUAGGAGCGCAACUCCGGAGCUCAACUUCGGAACUACUACUAAAAGUGUUGGACUUGAGUGCAGGAGGGGCAAUCGGAAUUCCUAGUGUAGCGGUGGAAUGCGUAGAUAUUAGGAGGAACACCAGUGGCGAAGGCGGAUUACUGGACUGUAACUGACACUGAGGCACGAAAGCGUGGGGAGCAAACAGGAUUAGAUACCCCUGUAGUC